UACGUAGGAGGCAAGCGUUGUCCGGAAUUACUGGCGUAAAGCGCGUGUAGGUGGUGGGACAAGUCUGCUGUGAAAGCGCCUGGCUUAACCGGGCGAGGUCGGCGGAAACUGUCGCACUCGAGGACGGUAGAGGGGGGUGGAAUUCCCGGUGUAGUGGUGAAAUGCGUAGAGAUCGGGAGGAACACCUGUGGCGAAGGCGGCCCCCCUGGGCCGGCCCUGACACUGAGACGCGGAAGGCGUGGGGAGCGAACGGG
RNAcentral lists this ribosomal RNA (254 nucleotides) under uncultured bacterium. Its description in RNAcentral is "partial 16S ribosomal RNA". It matches the Rfam family "Bacterial small subunit ribosomal RNA", at positions 524 to 776 of the family's 1533-position model. The record is from RNAcentral.